This 253-nucleotide ribosomal RNA is filed under the name uncultured bacterium. RNAcentral describes it as "partial 16S ribosomal RNA". It matches the Rfam family "Bacterial small subunit ribosomal RNA", at positions 524 to 776 of the family's 1533-position model. The record is from RNAcentral.
UACGUAGGGUGCGAGCGUUACCCGGAUUUACUGGGCGUAAAGCGCGUGUAGGCGGCCUGACAGGUCUGCUGUGAAAACUCGAGGCUCAACCUCGAGAUGUCGGCGGAAACCGUCUGGCUAGAGUCCGGAAGAGGAGAGUGGAAUUCCUGGUGUAGCGGUGAAAUGCGCAGAUAUCAGGAAGAACACCUAUGGCGAAGGCAGCUCUCUGGGACGGUACUGACGCUGAGACGCGAAAGCGUGGGGAGCGAACAGG